RNAcentral lists this ribosomal RNA (570 nucleotides) under uncultured Actinomycetes bacterium. Its description in RNAcentral is "bacterial SSU rRNA". It matches the Rfam family "Bacterial small subunit ribosomal RNA", at positions 338 to 916 of the family's 1533-position model. Lineage: Bacteria; Bacillati; Actinomycetota; Actinomycetes. The record is from RNAcentral.
CCUACGGGAGGCAGCAGUGGGGAAUAUUGCGCAAUGGGCGAAAGCCUGACGCAGCAACGCCGCGUGCGGGAUGAAGGCCUUCGGGUUGUAAACCGCUUUCAGCAGGGAAGAAGCCGCAAGGUGACGGUACCUGCAGAAGAAGCACCGGCUAACUACGUGCCAGCAGCCGCGGUAAUACGUAGGGUGCAAGCGUUGUCCGGAUUUAUUGGGCGUAAAGAGCUCGUAGGCGGUCUGUUACGUCGGAUGUGAAAACCCGGAGCUUAACUCCGGGCCUGCAUUCGAUACGGGCAGACUUGAGUGUGGUAGGGGAGACUGGAAUUCCUGGUGUAGCGGUGAAAUGCGCAGAUAUCAGGAGGAACACCGAUGGCGAAGGCAGGUCUCUGGGCCACAACUGACGCUGAGGAGCGAAAGCGUGGGGAGCAAACAGGAUUAGAUACCCUGGUAGUCCACGCCGUAAACGGUGGGCGCUAGGUGUGGGGAACCUUCCACGUUCUCCGUGCCGCAGCUAACGCAUUAAGCGCCCCGCCUGGGGAGUACGGCCGCAAGGCUAAAACUCAAAGGAAUUGACGG